UGGUUUAAUUCGAAGCAACGCGAAGAACCUUACCAGGUCUUGACAUCCUCUGACAACCCUAGAGAUAGGGCUUCCCCUUCGGGGGCAGAGUGACAGGUGGUGCAUGGUUGUCGUCAGCUCGUGUCGUGAGAUGUUGGGUUAAGUCCCGCAACGAGCGCAACCCUUGAUCUUAGUUGCCAGCAUUCAGUUGGGCACUCUAAGGUGACUGCCGGUGACAAACCGGAGGAAGGUGGGGAUGACGUCAAAUCAUCAUGCCCCUUAUGACCUGGGCUACACACGUGCUACAAUGGGCAGAACAAAGGGCAGCGAAGCCGCGAGGCUAAGCCAAUCCCACAAAUCUGUUCUCAGUU
RNAcentral lists this ribosomal RNA (350 nucleotides) under Bacillus sp. (in: firmicutes). RNAcentral's name for it is "bacterial SSU rRNA". It matches the Rfam family "Bacterial small subunit ribosomal RNA", at positions 942 to 1293 of the family's 1533-position model. The record is from RNAcentral. Lineage: Bacteria; Bacillati; Bacillota; Bacilli; Caryophanales; Bacillaceae.